Molecule: unclassified non-coding RNA, 311 nt
Filed under: Hevea brasiliensis (rubber tree)
Lineage: Eukaryota; Viridiplantae; Streptophyta; Magnoliopsida; Malpighiales; Euphorbiaceae
Source: RNAcentral
CUAGAAUUGAACAAGUAAGAAAGUUCCUCAAGAGGAAGAGCAGGAAUUGUUUACAAUGGUUAUCAGUUAAAAAUAUCAAAUUGCCUUCUAAGAUUUAUAAAUGAAGGAUCAACCAAUCAGAUGAGAUGUCCCUCAGAAAUUUUCAUAGUGAUUAAGUUAUUAUUUGAAGUUAGAAUAUUAGAUAUAGCCAUACUUAAUGCCAACGGUUAAAAGUAAAUGAAGUAGUUCCCACGUCAUCUGUUAUUCUCAUUCAUAGAGAUGAAAUCCUCAUCCAAUACCUUUAACCUCAGUGACAUGAAAAGCCUUCAAAG